Molecule: long non-coding RNA, 275 nt
Organism: Thalassophryne amazonica
Lineage: Eukaryota; Metazoa; Chordata; Actinopteri; Batrachoidiformes; Batrachoididae
Exons: 2
Source: RefSeq, a predicted model, not a curated record
GUUUGGGGCCCAUUGCAUUCUACUAAAAAGACAUCAAAGAUAAAUGAAAAAACCAAAGGCAAAAAGCUUUUGUCUUUUCUGAGUGUGGUAAAAGAUUUGGACAAAAGAGCCACCUGAAUAGACACCUGAUCAUUCAUACAGGACAAAAACCAUUUGGCUGUUCUGAAUGUGGUAAAACAUUUAGACAAAAGGGCAACCGGAACACACACAUGAUAAUUCAUACAGAACUAAAACCAUUUGACUGUUCUGAAUGUGGUAAAAGAUUCAGACAAAAG